GUGCUUGCCUUGGCAGUACAUUUAUUAAUAUUGGAAUGAUACAGAGAUGAUUAGCAUGGCUCCCGAACAAAGAUGACACACAAAUGCUUGAAACAUUCAAUACUAAU
Loxodonta africana (African savanna elephant) is the source of this 107-nucleotide small nuclear RNA. NCBI's taxonomy places the organism in Eukaryota, Metazoa, Chordata, Mammalia, Proboscidea, Elephantidae. The record is from Ensembl.